UAAUGAUGAUGAUGAUGAUGAUGAUGAUGAUGAUGAUGACAACGGCACAUAUUCAAUAUCCCCCCCCUCCCCCCCUCCUUAUCAUCAUCAUCAUCAUCGUUGUGC
This 105-nucleotide microRNA precursor is filed under the name Bigelowiella natans CCMP2755. RNAcentral describes it as "miRNA EPrBNAG00000013106". Lineage: Eukaryota; Cercozoa; Chlorarachniophyceae. The record is from RNAcentral.